UAGGGAAUCUUCCGCAAUGGGCGAAAGCCUGACGGAGCAACGCCGCGUGAGUGAUGAAGGUCUUCGGAUCGUAAAACUCUGUUAUUAGGGAAGAACAAAUGUGUAAGUAACUAUGCACAUCUUGACGGUACCUAAUCAGAAAGCCACGGCUAACUACGUGCCAGCAGCCGCGGUAAUACGUAGGUGGCAAGCGUUAUCCGGAAUUAUUGGGCGUAAAGCGCGCGUAGGCGGUUUUUUAAGUCUGAUGUGAAAGCCCACGGCUCAACCGUGGAGGGUCAUUGGAAACUGGAAGACUUGAGUGCAGAAGAGGAAAGUGGAAUUCCAUGUGUAGCGGUGAAAUGCGCAGAGAUAUGGAGGAACACCAGUGGCGAAGGCGACUUUCUGGUCUGUAACUGACGCUGAGGCUCGAAAGCGUGGGUAGCAAACAGG
Molecule: ribosomal RNA, 429 nt
Filed under: Bacteroidota bacterium
Lineage: Bacteria; Pseudomonadati; Bacteroidota
Description: Bacteroidetes bacterium partial 16S ribosomal RNA
Rfam family: Bacterial small subunit ribosomal RNA
Source: RNAcentral